AAAGCAUUUCCAUAGAGGGUUUAAGGCAACGGCGCUCUCUCAGUCUCACUCCGUUUCUUAAGGCUCACUCUCCGUCUCAGUUUCACGAUGUGGGACGAUUGUUAUGAAGGUAAGUCUCUGUUGAGCCCUGAAUCCACCUCUAAGCUUUGUUUGUCCAUCACUCAUGUCUUCCAAAAUUGGCUCAAAUCUCUCCCUGAAGAAAUCAUACCCACCAUCCUGAUCAGACUACCCAUCAAAUCCUUGAUCAGAUUCACCUCUGUCUGCAAGUCUUGGAUGUCCACCAUUAAAGACCCAAGCUUUAUCCGCACCCACCUCACCCACACUCUCACUCUCAAUGACCAAAAUGCCACCCACCUCAUUCUCCUCCACAAUUAUGGGUUCGAAGAAGACUCCUACUCUUUGCACUAUGAUAACAAUGAAGUCAGUCAGUACUGCAACAUUGAAUUUCCAAUUGGUCUCAAGAACAGAAUGAAGAAUUCGUGUUUUCGUGUUGUGGGUACUUGUGAUGGGCUCGUUUUGCUUGCUGAUGAUCUAGGGAAUGAAGCUUACAACUUUGUUAUAUGGAACCCUAGUAUAAGAAAGUAUGUGAUCCUUCCUAAGCCCAGUGUUAGGUUUUCGACACACGGUGACUAUGAGGCUAACAUUGGUCUGGGUUAUGAUGCUAUUGGUAAUGAUUAUAAGCUUGUGAGGGUGACAUCUCUUGUGGAUCAACCUGAUCACUACCCAAGGACUUUAGUUCAGUAUUAUUCACUAGCCACAGGCUCUUGGGGCAUGCUUCGUCUUCUCCCUCCAUGUUUAGUGAAUAGCUCCCGGGUCCAUGUUUUAGUCAAUGGGGCACUGCACUGGCUGGCUAUCUGUUGGACGGAUGAUCAUCAAAUAAAGUAUUUGGUUAUGGCAUUUGAUGUGGGAGGUCAGUCAUUUCGAGAGAUAAUGCUGCCUGAGAGCCUCCAACUGGAUGAGUUAUUGGAGUUCAGGUUGGGUGUUUCGGGAGAUAGAAAAUCCAUUGGUCUGUUUGUGAGGUGCAAGAGUGAGACUAACUGUUUUCUUGAUAUAUGGGUAAUGAAGGAGUAUUGCGUUGAGAAGUCGUGGACCAAAUUGAUGAUUCUCACUCCACAAGGUCCAAAAAGAAGUUUACCCAAAGCAUUGUGUUUUAGGAGGAGUGGGGAAGUGGUGUUGAUACUUGAAGAUGACCGUGAAUUGGUUUCACUUGAGAUUGUGAGCAAACAGUUUAAAAAUCUUGGGAUUUCUGCAGGUCAGGUUUGUUUUGUUGACUCGUAUGAAGAGAGCCUACUCUUGCUUGACAGGAAGGAUGCAAUUUCUUAUUGAGGGGAAAGAAGAGGUAAGGUGAUAAGUUAUAUAACUGGCUUCGUGUUUAAAUACAUAUGCAGCUAAGUUUAUUUGACAUGUGACUACUGAAUUUUAGUGCAAAACAAAGUUUAGUAUUCUGUAUCCUGAUUGAUUUAGUAGUAUCCUUGUCAAGUGUUUUUUCUUCUUCUUUGUAUACAGUUGCUCUGUUCUUAGUUUUCUGGGUGUCUUGUUGUCAGCUUGCUUUCGUUGUUGUUUUAUAGAAUCUCCUGUCUUAGGUAGUUAGUUGAUUGUAUUUCUUGCUUGUGUUGUCUGAAAACAGAACUUCCUAACUAGUUUAAUCGGAAUGAUGCAAUCCUACUCCCAUAACAAGCUCAGAGCUGAAAAAAAAAAAUUUGGACAAGAUGUUAAAGUUAAUACAUGGUUAUGCUGCUCCUAUUAUCAGUCCCUGCAGUUUUGUGUUUUAUGUAGCACCGCUUGGUAGUGCCUUACAGUGGACUGUGGUCUCUGUGGAGCUGGUGAUACUACUUAAGUGUACUUGAUAUAACAUGUUAUUAUUUGCUGUUCUGCUAGAAGUCUAGAACUAUAAAAAGGCUCAUGCAAUGGAUGCUUUAAUCAAUUUAGCUUUGCUUUAUAGUACAUUCCCAUUUGGAUAGACAUCAGUAUAACAUAACCUGAUGAAAUGAGCACCAGACCAUAGAGGAGAAGGUGAUACUAUGAAAACCCCCAGCAUGAACUGAAAGUAGGACAUGAUAGUGGCAUAAGUGUAUAACUUAUAGCCUAAUUUCUGCAGUUUUAAAUUCAUUUUUAAUAUCUAGACUGUAUGUACCUGUAGUGUUUUUUUUUUUCCUUUUCUUUCUUUCUUGGAUCGAAGUAUCUCCAAGUUAUCUUACAGGCUUCAUGCUUUGGAAAUCUUGAGCAACUAUUCAUUCUACAUCUGUCUGUGAACCGUAAACUGCACAAGUUACCUCCACUUCAAUCUUUCAUGCCUGUGUAUGCAAGUGGACUGAAAGUAGUAAGAGGAUGCUAUCAGAUGUAUGUGGGAUAUAAGUUUAAUGAGUUUCAAGUCUGCUCUCUGUAGCUGUGAAGUGCGAUAAAACUGCCAUUCUGAAGUCACUAUCUACUUUCUUUUAAUAUCUGUUGCUUAGUUUAUCCUGAUGGUAUUUGCCUGUAAUGUGAAAUUGAUAUCCUUACUUAUGAUGGAUGUUAAUUAUAUAUUUUGUUAUAUUGCUAUGAAGAACCGUUUUAGUGUGCUGCAUAUGUGCGUCGAUGUUUAUUUUUCAUGUUAUAUAUAGACGUUGCCAUAGUUCAUCAGGAGAAGCAUAUCUUUGAAGAAAGAAUUCAUUUUCCUCAAAUCUAUCUAAUAAUUUACAUGUAUGAUCCCUA
RNA transcript from Rosa rugosa (rugosa rose), 2691 nucleotides. It is a transcript of the gene named F-box/kelch-repeat protein At3g23880-like, with no coding region annotated. Lineage: Eukaryota; Viridiplantae; Streptophyta; Magnoliopsida; Rosales; Rosaceae. The transcript has 2 exons. The record is from RefSeq and is a predicted model, not a curated record.